GCUGAAAAUCCCGACUUCGGAAGGGAUGUGUUUAUUAGAUAAAAAACCAAUGCCCUUCGGGGCUCCUUGGUGAAUCAUAAUAACUUAACGAAUCGCAUGGCCUUGCGCCGGCGAUGGUUCAUUCAAAUUUCUGCCCUAUCAACUUUCGAUGGUAGGAUAGUGGCCUACCAUGGUAUCAACGGGUAACGGGGAAUUAGGGUUCGACUCCGGAGAGGGAGCCUGAGA
RNAcentral lists this ribosomal RNA (225 nucleotides) under Amorphochlora amoebiformis. Its description in RNAcentral is "partial Eukaryotic small subunit ribosomal RNA". It matches the Rfam family "Eukaryotic small subunit ribosomal RNA", at positions 173 to 401 of the family's 1831-position model. Lineage: Eukaryota; Cercozoa; Chlorarachniophyceae. The record is from RNAcentral.